This is a long non-coding RNA of Lepisosteus oculatus (spotted gar), 1080 nucleotides long. RefSeq lists it as uncharacterized. The record is from RefSeq and is a predicted model, not a curated record. Lineage: Eukaryota; Metazoa; Chordata; Actinopteri; Semionotiformes; Lepisosteidae.
AUGGAGGCUCUCGAAGAUGACAUAGCAAAGGGGGGUCACGAAUGGGCUGGCAGCUCCUGCAGCACCAGGCUCAGGCUGAUCCACCACAGAGGGCAGAAAAACUGCUGGCGCCGCCAGGGCCGCAGGUCUGGGUCACUCCACAGCUGAACACACGAAAUGCUAUGCCACUGGGGGGCGGGGCAGAAGGCGAGGAGUGGUAUGAGCGUCUGCAGCCAUCAAUCACGAUGGCGAGAAGAGACGGGAGGCAGCCUCAAGCUGGCUUUUUCGCUGCCCCUGCCGAUCCCUGGAUUGACUUCGCUGUUAAGGGGGAGGCACUGCGACAAUACUGAAGGCAUCAAAUAUCUCCUCGGCCUGGAGAAGGAAAGCUUGUCUAAGAGGUGUCACGGUGAAACACGAGAUGGGACAUGCAGAUGCGCCUGGGACAAAAGAGGAGUAAUUCACAAUUUACCGGCACGAGACAGAGAAGGCUGGAGAAUGUUAAAAAACAAAGAAAUACCACUUCAGCAAAUCAGCUUUUCCAAAGUUAGACAGCCUGCCAUCAAAGGCACCUGCACUCUCACAGGCUGAGGGAUGUGGACUGAGGCUGGUUCCCAUGGACUGAGUGCACCUCCUAAGGUCUGGGCAGGAUCUCCAGUUUAGCUCAGAAAGGGCGACCUGAAUCCAAAGAAGACUUUGGAAACUGGGGGCCCCACACAAAGAGGAAACCGGAGGGGCUGAGAUGCAGAGCCUCGUUGAAACCAUACUCCAGAGUCCCUCAUUGCACUCAUGUUCUCUUUUUGCCUUCUCUGACCCAAACCCUCAGAGCGGGCUGCUGACUGUGUGGGCCUCAUACAGACGGAAGAAAACAACUGAGGAAUUAGUGGCGCAGACUUGCAUUUCCAUUACUUAUUAAAAAAUAAAGCACACGCAAAGUAUUCAAUACUUGAACUUUACUUGAGUGCAUUCCUUCAUUACUGUACCGCUAACAAUGCUGUACUGUUAUUCUGACAGGGCUAUUUAAUAUGUUUUGAAACAUGAAAUGUUUCAUAUUGUGUUUUACUCAUUUGCUUGCAUGACGAUCUGCUAUUAAAUAUCUGUUAU